UGGGGAAUAUUGGACAAUGGGCGAAAGCCUGAUCCAGCCAUGCCGCGUGUGUGAAGAAGGUCUUCGGAUUGUAAAGCACUUUAAGUUGGGAGGAAGGGCAGUAAGCGAAUACCUUGCUGUUUUGACGUUACCGACAGAAUAAGCACCGGCUAACUCUGUGCCAGCAGCCGCGGUAAUACAGAGGGUGCAAGCGUUAAUCGGAAUUACUGGGCGUAAAGCGCGCGUAGGUGGUUCGUUAAGUUGAAUGUGAAAGCCCCGGGCUCAACCUGGGAACUGCAGCCAAAACUGGCGAGCUAGAGUAGGGCAGAGGGUGGUGGAAUUUCCUGGGUAGCGGUGAAAUGCGUAGAUAUAGGAAGGAACACCAGUGGCGAAGGCGACCACCUGGGCUCAUACUGACACUGAGGUGCGAAAGCGUGGGGAGCAAACAGG
Molecule: ribosomal RNA, 429 nt
Filed under: Pseudomonadota bacterium
Lineage: Bacteria; Pseudomonadati; Pseudomonadota
Description: Proteobacteria bacterium partial 16S ribosomal RNA
Rfam family: Bacterial small subunit ribosomal RNA
Source: RNAcentral